This 69-nucleotide transfer RNA is filed under the name Ictidomys tridecemlineatus (thirteen-lined ground squirrel). RNAcentral describes it as "Spermophilus tridecemlineatus (thirteen-lined ground squirrel) tRNA". It matches the Rfam family "tRNA". From Rfam's summary of the family: Transfer RNA (tRNA) molecules are approximately 80 nucleotides in length. Lineage: Eukaryota; Metazoa; Chordata; Mammalia; Rodentia; Sciuridae. The record is from Rfam by way of RNAcentral.
GGGGUUGUAGCUCAGUGGUAGAGUUCUUGCCUAGCACACAUGAGGCUCUGGGUUCAAUCCUCAACACCA